Non-coding RNA from Oryza glumipatula, 197 nucleotides. Lineage: Eukaryota; Viridiplantae; Streptophyta; Magnoliopsida; Poales; Poaceae. The record is from Rfam.
AAUAAACGCAGCUAUGAGUUUCCAUGUCCGAUUUUUAUCGCGCGUCUUAUUUAAAUUUUUUUUAUGAUUAGUAUUUUUAUUAUUAUUAGAUUAUAAAACAUGAAUAGUACUUUAUGUGUGAUUUAUGUUUUUUUAGAAAAGAAAUAAAUAAAACGAAUGAUUAAAGUUGUAAACGAAAACUCAUGACUGUGUUUAUU